Molecule: ribosomal RNA, 259 nt
Filed under: uncultured bacterium
Lineage: Bacteria
Description: partial 16S ribosomal RNA
Rfam family: Bacterial small subunit ribosomal RNA
Source: RNAcentral
CGGCGGACGGGUGAGUAACGCGUGGGCAACCUGCCUUACACAGGGGGAUAACAGUUAGAAAUGACGUGCUAAUACCGCAUAAGACCGCAGUACCGCAUGGUACAGCGGUAAAAACUCCGGUGGUGUAAGAUGGGCCCGCGUCUGAUUAGGUAGUUGGCGGGGUAACGGCCCACCAAGCCGACGAUCAGUAGCCGACCUGAGAGGGUGACCGGCCACAUUGGGACUGAGACACGGCCCAGACUCCUACGGGAGGCAGCAG